RNAcentral lists this ribosomal RNA (464 nucleotides) under uncultured bacterium. RNAcentral's name for it is "bacterial SSU rRNA". It matches the Rfam family "Bacterial small subunit ribosomal RNA", at positions 339 to 794 of the family's 1533-position model. The record is from RNAcentral.
CUACGGGAGGCAGCAGUCGAGAGGCUUCGGCAAUGGGGGAAACCCUGACCGAGCGACGCCGCGUGCAGGAUGAAGGCCCUUGGGUUGUAAACUGCUUUUGUUGGGGAAGAAAUGCGAUCAGGUGAACAAUCUGGUCGCUUGACGGUACCCGACGAAGAAGCUCCGGCUAACUCCGUGCCAGCAGCCGCGGUAACACGGGGGGAGCAAGCGUUGUUCGGAAUCACUGGGCGUAAAGGGCGUGUAGGCGGUCAGGUAAGUGGGAUGUGAAAGCCCCCGGCUCACCCGGGGAUCUGCAUCCCAAACUGCCUGGCUUGAGUACGGGAGAGGAUGGGGGAAUUCCUGGUGUAGCGGUGAAAUGCGUAGAUAUCAGGAGGAACACCGGUGGCGAAGGCGCCUAUCUGGCCCGAUACUGACGCUGAGGCGCGAAAGCUAGGGGAGCAAACGGGAUUAGAUACCCCGGUAGC